Molecule: ribosomal RNA, 503 nt
Filed under: uncultured fungus
Lineage: Eukaryota; Fungi
Description: SSU rRNA
Rfam family: Eukaryotic small subunit ribosomal RNA
Source: RNAcentral
CUCAAGAUUAAGCCAUGCAUGUCUAAGUAUAAGCAAUUAUACCGUGAAACUGCGAAUGGCUCAUUAAAUCAGUUAUCGUUUAUUUGAUAAUACCUUACUACUUGGAUAACCGUGGUAAUUCUAGAGCUAAUACAUGCUGAAAAUCCCGACUUCGGAAGGGAUGUGUUUAUUAGAUAAAAAACCAAUGCCCUUCGGGGCUCCUUGGUGAUUCAUGAUAACUUUACGGAUCGCAUAGCCUUGCGCUGGCGACGGUUCAUUCAAAUUUCUGCCCUAUCAACUUUCGAUGGUAAGGUAUUGGCUUACCAUGGUUUCAACGGGUAACGGGGAAUUAGGGUUCGAUUCCGGAGAGGCAGCCUGAGAAACGGCUACCACAUCCAAGGACAGGCAGCAGGCGCGCAAAUUACCCAAUCCCGACACGGGGAGGUAGUGACAAUAAAUACUGAUACAGGGCUCUUUUGGGUCUUGUAAUUGGAAUGAGUACAAUUCAAUCUCUUAACGAGACA